UUUGGUUCAGUCGGUAGAGCGCUCGAUUCGCAUGCGCGAGGUCACGUGUUCGAUCCCAGCUUUAG
This 65-nucleotide transfer RNA is filed under the name Heterosigma akashiwo. Lineage: Eukaryota; Raphidophyceae; Chattonellales; Chattonellaceae. The record is from RNAcentral.